CAUCUGGAAUCCCUUGCAUUUUUCUGUUUGAGCAGCUGUGGUACUGAUCAAAUAAUAAGCAAUUGCUACUGCUCCCAGUGUUUAUGGAACAGAAAGGAAGCCUUUUCGACAAAGCCCGACGUGCAUCCGUCACACUAAGAAGCUCAAAAUGGGACCUUUAUCAACUGAUGCAAGGAGAAAUAUUUAUACUCCAAUGAUGUGCCAAUGAUGCAGCAGAUGUGGGAUGUGCAGGUGAACAGGUAGAUGCUGCUAGGCCACAUGAAAAUAAGUAGCUACUGUAACUGCAAAAGAGCCCCCCUGUUUCACCUCCCUUGUGUUCCAUAAGCAACAGUACAAACACUGGUCCAGGCUAAAGAAAGAU
RNAcentral lists this long non-coding RNA (361 nucleotides) under Pogona vitticeps (central bearded dragon). RNAcentral describes it as "lncRNA (ENSPVIG00000025089.1)". The record is from RNAcentral. Lineage: Eukaryota; Metazoa; Chordata; Lepidosauria; Squamata; Agamidae.